RNAcentral lists this ribosomal RNA (346 nucleotides) under uncultured organism. Its description in RNAcentral is "bacterial SSU rRNA". It matches the Rfam family "Bacterial small subunit ribosomal RNA", at positions 367 to 727 of the family's 1533-position model. The record is from RNAcentral.
CGCAAUGGGCGAGAACCUGACGGAGCAACGCCGCGUGAGGGAUGAAGGCCUCUGGGCUGUAAACCUCUUUUCUCAAGGAAGAAGAUCUGACGGUACUUGAGGAAUAAGCCACGGCUAAUUCCGUGCCAGCAGCCGCGGUAAUACGGGAGUGGCAAGCGUUAUCCGGAAUUAUUGGGCGUAAAGCGUCCGCAGGCGGCCUUGUAAGUCUGUCGUUAAAGCGUGGAGCUUAACUCCAUUUCAGCGAUGGAAACUACAAGGCUUGAGUGUGGUAGGGGCAGAGGGAAUUCCCGGUGUAGCGGUGAAAUGCGUAGAUAUCGGGAAUUAAUAGGACUCCCUAUAGGGCGAA